GUGGCGGUAGUAUAGGUAUGUACAUUUUCCUUCCAAGAAAAAAGUCCAUAAAAAUGGUCGUUAU
RNAcentral lists this transfer RNA (64 nucleotides) under Xyloredo sp. E88. RNAcentral's name for it is "tRNA-Gly". The record is from RNAcentral. RNAcentral also lists the same sequence under 1 other name. Lineage: Eukaryota; Metazoa; Mollusca; Bivalvia; Myida; Pholadidae.